GACGAACGCUGGCGGCGUGCUUAACACAUGCAAGUCGAACGGUAAGGCCCUUCGGGGUACACGAGUGGCGAACGGGUGAGUAACACGUGGGUGAUCUGCCCUGCACUUCGGGAUAAGCCUGGGAAACUGGGUCUAAUACCGGAUAGGACCACUGCCUGCAUGGGUGGUGGUGGAAAGCUUUUGCGGUGUGGGAUGGGCCCGCGGCCUAUCAGCUUGUUGGUGGGGUGAUGGCCUAGCAAGGCGACGACGGGUAGCCGGCCUGUGAGGGUGACCGGCCACACUGGCACUGGGAUACGGCCCAGACUCGUACGGGGGGCAGCAGUGGGGAAUAUUGCACAAUGGGCGCAAGCCUGAUGCAGCGACGCCGCGUGAGGUAUGACGGCCUUCGGGUUGUAAACCUCUUUCAGCACCGACGAAGCGCAAGUGACGGUAGGUGCAGAAGAAGGACCGGCCAACUACGUGCCCGCAGCCGCAGUAA
RNAcentral lists this ribosomal RNA (478 nucleotides) under uncultured bacterium. RNAcentral's name for it is "partial 16S ribosomal RNA". It matches the Rfam family "Bacterial small subunit ribosomal RNA", at positions 28 to 523 of the family's 1533-position model. The record is from RNAcentral.